UGGUGGUGGCUAUUGUUGAGACGAUGUCCGUGGCUGCUAUCAUUUCUUCACUGCCAAGCUGUGUAUGAGGUUGCCGGCCAUAGGGCUCUCGGAGCCAUGUUUGGAAAGAAGAGGAGGGGAAUACCCCUAUUUCGAAGAAGAGAAGAGAGUUUCACAUCUCCCUCUCUUCUCUCUAUCUUUCAUUUCUCUCCUAGCUAGAUUAAAGGAUUUGUGGAAGGAGGAUCAGGAGAUUGGUGGGCAGACUCCCGACGAACUGCAAUAGAGAGUUCUAGAUAGAUGAUUUUUAUUUUAUAAAUUUUAUUUAAAUAUAAAUUUAAUUUUAUAGGAAAAUAAAUUUUUGGACAGAAGAAUAUCGAGCAGGAUUCUUGAUAUCUAGAUCAUAAAUCUAGUGAGUUAAAUUGACAGUAGU
This 409-nucleotide long non-coding RNA is filed under the name Elaeis guineensis (African oil palm). RNAcentral describes it as "long non-coding RNA (EGUI_LNC037251)". Lineage: Eukaryota; Viridiplantae; Streptophyta; Magnoliopsida; Arecales; Arecaceae. The record is from RNAcentral.